This 76-nucleotide transfer RNA is filed under the name Bacillota bacterium. RNAcentral describes it as "tRNA-Thr". It matches the Rfam family "tRNA". From Rfam's summary of the family: Transfer RNA (tRNA) molecules are approximately 80 nucleotides in length. Their secondary structure includes four short double-helical elements and three loops (D, anti-codon, and T loops). The record is from RNAcentral. Lineage: Bacteria; Bacillati; Bacillota. RNAcentral also lists the same sequence under 2 other names.
GCCUUUUUAGCUCAGCAGGUAGAGCGCAUCCAUGGUAAGGAUGAGGUCGCCGGUUCAAUUCCGGCAAAAGGCUCCA